RNAcentral lists this ribosomal RNA (33 nucleotides) under Ginoria nudiflora. RNAcentral's name for it is "partial 28S ribosomal RNA". Lineage: Eukaryota; Viridiplantae; Streptophyta; Magnoliopsida; Myrtales; Lythraceae. The record is from RNAcentral.
GCGACCCCAGGUCAGGCGGGACUUNAAAAAACC